Cinara cedri is the source of this 450-nucleotide non-coding RNA. NCBI's taxonomy places the organism in Eukaryota, Metazoa, Arthropoda, Insecta, Hemiptera, Aphididae. The record is from the annotation of a GenBank genome assembly.
AAAGUGCUUAACCGUUGGGGCGUUCACUCGUACGUUCAUUGUAUAAUUGUAAAAAUAUUCUAUUAUAGAACAUUAAACAUUUUUCAUUCACGCCCCUGUAGUCAUAGUGCCCCGUGCGUGGGUAUCUCUCGUAGCCGUCUACCCACGGCCCUGGAAUAAUACAUAGUAUACAGUCAAAUACAAUAAUGCAGUUAGGUAAAAAAGACUGAUAUACUUAGCGCGUGGAUGGGUCAUUGUUGUAGGCGAGUAGCCGGGAAGGUAUAGAAGAAAUUUAAUGUAUAUCUACGCGCGAAGAUUUGACUCUUGCUAACAGAAAACGAUUCUGAGCGGGGUUCGGUUAAUAGUGUUAAUUUAUCAACAAUUUGAUAACGUCAAAGUGCAAAAGUGUAAAGUGCAUGAAAAAAUGUCCACGCCAUGCGAGUUUGUUGAAGUUGAUUAUCGAUAUUAUCG